CAGUCGCCGCGGGAAUACGUAGGUGGCAAGCGUUGUCCGGAAUUAUUGGGCGUAAAGCGCGCGCAGGUGGUUUAAUAAGUCUGAUGUGAAAGCCCACGGCUCAACCGUGGAGGGUCAUUGGAAACUGUUAAACUUGAGUGCAGAAGAGGAGAGUGGAAUUCCACGUGUAGCGGUGAAAUGCGUAGAGAUGUGGAGGAACACCAGUGGCGAAGGCGACUCUCUGGUCUGUAACUGACGCUGAGGAGCGAAAGCGUGGGGAGCGAACAGGAUUAGAUACCCCUGUAGUCCCUGUCUCUUAUAC
RNAcentral lists this ribosomal RNA (301 nucleotides) under uncultured bacterium. RNAcentral describes it as "partial 16S ribosomal RNA". It matches the Rfam family "Bacterial small subunit ribosomal RNA", at positions 509 to 807 of the family's 1533-position model. The record is from RNAcentral.